GUGGGGAAUCUUCCGCAAUGGACGAAAGUCUGACGGAGCGACGCCGCGUGAGUGAAGAAGGCCUUCGGGUCGUAAAGCUCUGUCAUCAGGGACGAACGGCCGGUGGAGUGGAAAGCCACCGGAUUGACGGUACCUGAGAAGGAAGCCACGGCUAACUACGUGCCAGCAGCCGCGGUAAUACGUAGGUGGCAAGCGUUGUCCGGAAUUAUUGGGCGUAAAGCGCGCGCAGGUGGGAUCUUAAGUCCAUUUUUAAAGUUCGGAGCUCAACUCCGUGAUGGGAUGGAAACUGGGAUUCUUGAGUACCGGAGAGGAAAGCGGAAUUCCCCGUGUAGCGGUGAAAUGCGUAGAUAUGGGGAGGAACACCAGUGGCGAAGGCGGCUUUCUGGACGAAAACUGACGCUGAGGCGCGAAAGCCAGGGGAGCGAACGGGAUUAGAAACCCCAGUAGUCC
This 450-nucleotide ribosomal RNA is filed under the name uncultured bacterium. Its description in RNAcentral is "partial 16S ribosomal RNA". It matches the Rfam family "Bacterial small subunit ribosomal RNA", at positions 354 to 796 of the family's 1533-position model. The record is from RNAcentral.